ACCUACGGGGGGCAGCAGUAGGGAAUUUUCGUCAAUGGGCGCAAGCCUGAACGAGCAAUGCCGCGUGAACGAGGGAGGUCUUCGGAUCGUAAAGUUCUGUUGAAGGGGAAAAAGAGCGGAGAGAGGAAAUGGUCUCCGAUUGAUAUUACCCUUCGAGGAAGUCACGGCUAACUACGUGCCAGCAGCCGCGGUAAUACGUAGGUGGCGAGCGUUAUCCGGAAUGAUUGGGCGUAAAGGGUGCGUAGGCGGCCUGCUAAGUCUGGAGUGAAAGGUACCGGCUCAACCGGUACAGGCUCUGGAAACUG
This 305-nucleotide ribosomal RNA is filed under the name uncultured bacterium. RNAcentral's name for it is "bacterial SSU rRNA". It matches the Rfam family "Bacterial small subunit ribosomal RNA", at positions 337 to 635 of the family's 1533-position model. The record is from RNAcentral.